This 203-nucleotide ribosomal RNA is filed under the name Enterobacter sp. FS01. Its description in RNAcentral is "partial 16S ribosomal RNA". It matches the Rfam family "Bacterial small subunit ribosomal RNA", at positions 1 to 213 of the family's 1533-position model. The record is from RNAcentral. Lineage: Bacteria; Pseudomonadati; Pseudomonadota; Gammaproteobacteria; Enterobacterales; Enterobacteriaceae.
AAAUUGAAGAGUUUGAUCAUGGCUCAGAUUGAACGCUGGCGGCAGGCCUAACACAUGCAAGUCGAGCGGUAGCACAGGGAGCUUGCUCCUGGGUGACGAGCGGCGGACGGGUGAGUAAUGUCUGGGAAACUGCCUGAUGGAGGGGGAUAACUACUGGAAACGGUAGCUAAUACCGCAUAACGUCGCAAGACCAAAGAGGGGGA